CUAUCAAAUAGGGCGUAAAAGAUUAUACCAACAACACAUUGUUAAGUGGACAUUGAAAGCACCAAUAAGGACAAGGAAAUGGAGAAUGGGAUUCGAACAAGAUAAAUGAAAUGGGCACUUACAAUCCUUAGUUUGUGCAGCGAGACAAAAAAUAACAAGGCAAAAACAAUCCCGUGAGACACAGGUGAAAAAAAGGACAAGCAGCCAUGAUCUCAAUCUUUAUUUUCUGGUUGAUAGGUCAACUUUUAUUUACCAGCUAAAAUAAACAAACAAAAUAUCAUUUUGUCAAUCUCUGCAUCCCCUACAAUCAUGCUACACCACAGGUCAUCCUUUUAAUUAUGUCACCAAGUGCCAAGUGUAUAACUCAUUGAAAAAAUGGCAGAUAUCAUGUCACAAUCAUCAUAAGAAUAGUGCAAAUAAGUAACCUUGACUAUAAGAUAAUGAAGUUGCCAACUUGUCAUUCAAGAGAGUAGAUUCCUGACGUGGAAAAGGAUAUGGAUAUCUCCAGACAAACUCCAUGUGCAAGUGAAGCUGCAUAGGUCAUAGCUCACAGAUCUACCAUAAACUGACUUCUCUUGUUUUUUUGAAUUAUAGCAGAUAUCCCCACCUGUAGACAAAUAUCAAUUUCUAAUCAUAUAGUGUGUCACAAUGACAGAAUAAAUACGUCAUGUAGUAUGUCACGAUGACAUAAUAAAUACGCAUGACUAGAGCCAAGAAACGGCAUUUGCCAAAAUGACUUCUCCAGACAAAUGCACAUGCAGGGGAAGGUGGGUAGGUGAUGAGUGUCGGAUAUGCGAUGGCUAGACCAUGCUGUUAUUGAAGGAACCAACUGGAACGACCUUGCUAUAUACCACUUCUAUGUAGUACUUCCAUGUGCGUUAUCUUCUGUUACUGUGAGGAGACACCAUAUACACAUGCAAAGUUGAGGUAACGUGAAACCCAGGUAAUGGGAGAAACGUUACUAUUUACUAUCAAAGCUUGUUAUGUGGGUCUCAAUAAAUCAUAAAAUUGCCCAGAUCUAUUAUAACUCUCCUGCUGCAUGCUAUCCUUCCUUCUUGCCAGUCACUGCAUAGACAAGGGGCAUAUGCUGCUAACCAGGAGCAUCAGCAGUUUAGAUAAUGUACAUCCAGCUAAGUUAAUGGAAUUACAGGCAAAAUCUGGAUAGAACCUAAGCCAGUACCCUACAAAAUUACAGGCAAUGUUCCAAUAAAAAAACCCUAAGAGAAAAGAAAAUUGCAACUAGUAGGUCUCUUAAAGGCCACGAAACUACUUCCAAAUGUGGGAGGCGAUACAUGUCCAGCUUAUUUAGCAGCCUUCCUCCCAUCUCUAGGACCAACUUUUGAUGCAGAAUUUGGAGGGAGUUAAUUACUAAAGGUGAAUCCUGUCAUUUAAAUCGCAUCCAGACUCUCUUCUAGUCACCAUCAUGUGAUAGUUUAAUGUUUUAGGAAGCAUAUGCAAAUUAAAGGCCAAGGAGUCAUUAAUCAGAUUAAUGAAACUUUUCUCAAGCAUCCUGUUACCAAAAUUUGUUGCACUAAUGUUUUAGAAGCUCCACAGAAUAGAAACUGACACUCUUCCCUGUUAAAUAUUCAUGGAAGGAUAAGUUUUCAAAAUACCAAUGAGCAGAUAUGUCAACCACUAAGGGUCCACAACAUACUGAAGAAUCAACAAAAAGCAAUUCUAAUCCCACUGCUUUUCAUUUCAUAUGGUAACAUCAAUAUGCGAUUUCAAGCUACUGAAGUGUUGAAAACAGUGCAUGCAUUUGGAGUUGAAUUGUAAGGAAUCAAAUUUUUCUGAAACAAACAUAUAAUAGAAAUAAAGGGAAAAAACACUUAGGAUUUAAGAAGAAAUAUGGUAAACAAGAAGAGAAGGAAGGAACAAGGAGGAAGACCAGCCAUGAUGGUGUAGACGCACGAAGAGGGUUUUGCUAAAAAAUCCAAGACUGGCUGCUCUUGUUGAUGUUAUGGAAAUGAUCUUUGCUUUGGAAAGUAAAGGAAAGAAGGGAAUAUGGAAGACGGAGGUGUGCUCUCCUGUUCAUAAACGUUGCAUGGGGAGAGGAAUUUUCCAGCCAUGGAAGCAAAUCCAAAAAGUUACAGCAGCAUGAAGACUGGUUAACAACAAGUCUACCCUUCAUAUAUAAUGCCAAUUCAACUCAUUAAGUAGCACCAACCCCUUACCAACUAUCUUCUAUUGACACAUGGUAGACUUACAUGCACGUGUAGACAAAAGCUGUCGCAUGUAAUUGCAAAC
RNAcentral lists this long non-coding RNA (2247 nucleotides) under Elaeis guineensis (African oil palm). Its description in RNAcentral is "long non-coding RNA (EGUI_LNC077886)". Lineage: Eukaryota; Viridiplantae; Streptophyta; Magnoliopsida; Arecales; Arecaceae. The record is from RNAcentral.